UUGACAUACUAAGAACUUUCCAGAGAUGGAUUGGUGCCUUCGGGAACUUAGAUACNGGUGCUGCAUGGCUGUCGUCAGCUCGUGUCGUGAGAUGUUGGGUUAAGUCCGCAACGAGCGCAACCCUUUUCCUUAUUUGCCAGCGGGUAAUGCCGGGAACUUUAAGGAUACUGCCAGUGACAAACUGGAGGAAGGCGGGGACGACGUCAAGUCAUCAUGGCCCUUACGGCCAGGGCUACACACGUGCUACAAUGGUCGGUACAAAGGGUUGCUACCUCGCGAGAGGAUGCUAAUCUCAAAAAGCCGAUCGUAGUCCGGAUCGCAGUCUGCAACUCGACUGCGUGAAGUCGGAAUCGCUAGUAAUCGCGGAUCAGAAUGCCGCGGUGAAUACGUUCCCGGGCCUUGUACACACCGCCCGUCACACCAUGGGAGUUUGUUGCACCAGAAGUAGGUAGUCUAACCGCAAGGAGGACGCUUACCACGGUGUGGCCGAUGACUGGGGUGAAGUCGUAACAAGGUAGGCGUAGAUGA
This 528-nucleotide ribosomal RNA is filed under the name uncultured bacterium. RNAcentral describes it as "bacterial SSU rRNA". It matches the Rfam family "Bacterial small subunit ribosomal RNA", at positions 981 to 1509 of the family's 1533-position model. The record is from RNAcentral.